UCGUAAGAGGCGGCGC
This 16-nucleotide small RNA is filed under the name Bombyx mori (domestic silkworm). Its description in RNAcentral is "ovarian small RNA-7630". Lineage: Eukaryota; Metazoa; Arthropoda; Insecta; Lepidoptera; Bombycidae. The record is from RNAcentral.